GAUGAACGCUGGCGGCGUGCCUAAUACAUGCAAGUCGAGCGAACAGACGAGGAGCUUGCUCCUCUGACGUUAGCGGCGGACGGGUGAGUAACACGUGGAUAACCUACCUAUAAGACUGGGAUAACUUCGGGAAACCGGAGCUAAUACCGGAUAAUAUAUUGAACCGCAUGGUUCAAUAGUGAAAGACGGUUUUGCUGUCACUUAUAGAUGGAUCCGCGCCGCAUUAGCUAGUUGGUAAGGUAACGGCUUACCAAGGCAACGAUGCGUAGCCGACCUGAGAGGGGUGACGGGCAAAACUGAAACUGGAACAGGUUCCAGAUCCCUAGGGAGGGCGGAGUUGGGAAAUCUUCGCAAUGGGCGAAAGCCUGACGGAGCAACGCCGCGUGAGUGAUGAAGGUCUUCGGAUCGUAAAACUCUGUUAUUAGGGAAGAACAAAUGUGUAAGUAACUAUGCACGUCUUGACGGUACCUAAUCAGAAAGCCACGGCUAACUACGUG
Molecule: ribosomal RNA, 497 nt
Filed under: uncultured bacterium
Lineage: Bacteria
Description: partial 16S ribosomal RNA
Rfam family: Bacterial small subunit ribosomal RNA
Source: RNAcentral